Capra hircus (goat) is the source of this 78-nucleotide non-coding RNA. The record is from Rfam. Lineage: Eukaryota; Metazoa; Chordata; Mammalia; Artiodactyla; Bovidae.
GCCCUGACUGGGAUAUCAUCAUAUACUGUAAGUUUGCGAUGAGAUACUACAGUAUAGAUGAUGUACUCGUCCGGGUGC